Molecule: long non-coding RNA, 2455 nt
Organism: Parus major (Great Tit)
Lineage: Eukaryota; Metazoa; Chordata; Aves; Passeriformes; Paridae
Exons: 3
Source: RefSeq, a predicted model, not a curated record
ACAGCCAAUGGCUGUACCUCAGCCUCAGCAAACAGCAAGUCCUGUCAGUGCUGCAGAUACCAUUUGUUGCUUUAUUUUAUGGGAAGGAAGGGACACCUCACUACAAAGCCUGCUUUCCUCUGCCCUGGAUGUUUGGAGCUUUUAUAUCCUUGUCCAGAUUUUACCCUAUGGCAAAACUCUGCUCUGAACAAGUUCCCAAGCAUGUUUAACAUUUAAUGAGACUGACAGCAGUCAGCUUUAGGCUUAAAGACAGAAAUAGCAGAUCCUUAUCUGAACUCCUAUGAACUGGGUGAGGGAAAAGCAUUUUGGUCUGGGUCACAGAUGGAGUUUCCAACAAGUUCCAGCUUGGUUUCUAUAAGGCUAGCAUAAAAAGAUAAAGACAACCUUUGACUACAGCUUUGGGAGUUUUACCUCUGUUACCUCAAAUGCUGGUAUAGCUAGGCCUUUAUUUUAUAAGUUGCAGAGAGUACAAAGCAAACCUGUCCUAUGCAAACAGUUUCUCAUAACAUCAGUACCAGCCUGGCAUGAGAAGGGUAAUUUCUUUUGAAUUUCUUGGCUCAUUUAAUGUAGUUUAUUUCACACACGGAAGACCUGGAUGCUAAAACUUAGCAUAGGUGAAAUUUAAUUUCAAGCUUGAACACAAAAUGUGGUGCCUGGUUCUAAUUUCCAGCUUGCUUUAACUUGUGCUCAGCACCACUCACUAGAUUACUGAAAGCACUCUUUCUCUUGGUGCUCCCCUUACUUCUGCUUAGGAUGAAUGUGAGAAAGAAUCCUAAACACAAAUGUCUCACAAAUGUUGGGGUAAGUUUGACCUGGACCCAAAGUUUUCAGAGCCUUCUUUUUAAGUAUAAAAACUUCCCUUCUACCUACGUUUUGGAGUUUAGCUUGACUGACCUAUUAUCCUGCCCUGGGAGGGUUUAAUUUCUCUACUCAAUUCUGCACAGUCUUUUUUUCCCCAAUCAGUAUUUCGUACGGGUUUUGUGUCCAAGCCAAAGAGCACAAACACCUUAUGAGGAUGUCUUCAUGGGCUUCAGGCACAGCUUACAUUAAGCUAUGACACGUGCUUCCACGUCCCUUCAGUUGGGGGUUUUGACAAUGUUUUGAAGAAAUUUGGUUCUCUCUUACUAAAAACAAGAAAUCCUGGAUUUGAUUUGAGUCACUCUUUGCUUCCUUCUUCCUCUGCUUAAAUGUUUGACAACUUAGGGAUGUCCUCCCAAGCAGUGAUAACUUUUCAUUCAGAAACCUUCAGUAACCUGCUGAUUGAUAUAUAGCCACUGGCUAAAAAAAAAAGCCACACUUUUCCUGGACUUACUCCAAUAGCUUUGAUCUAGAAACUUAAGAAAUUUGCAAAUGUUUUGUAAUAGGAAAGAGAAAGAUAUUUUACAGAAUGUUUAGGAAAUAUUGCCCAAAAUGAUACAAAUAUUGCCCAAAAUGAACUGUUACACCUAAGGUAGAGUGGAUAUAUGCAAUAGUAAAUACACAGCAAAGCUGAACUAUUUGUGGAGAAAGGAAAUUGCCUGCUUACCUUUGGGUAUGGAAAUGUGAGUGAACCAAAGUUUUUUAAAUGAAGUAAGUUGUAUGAUUUCAGUCCUCACCCUGUGGUGUGAGAACACCAACAUCGUGUCUUGGUCUCUUUUGGAAAUGCCUUAUCUUUCCCUUUUCCUCUUCCCACAGCAUAUUAUUGUAGUAUUGUUGCUGUCAGCUUCUCAUUCUGAUGGUGUUUGCUGCUUCUCCUAAACUUAAGUGAGACUUCACCCCUGCAGAGAAAGGAGCCGCCAGAGAAUGUUAGUACCAUCACAGCCACAUGCCUCCCUUAUCAGCUGGAGAGAACAAGGUCCCUGGGUAGGAUAGAGCAGCAAAACAGAUCUGAGAGACCCUUCAAUGACAUCUGCUUCUCUUUCCCUGCAACAUCUGAGUUGCCAAUCCUUUCUCCCAUCAUAGUGACUGGAGCAAGCUUCACCAGCCACAGGUCAAAGUCUCUGCAGCAUAACCUGGGGAUUUGCAUCCUGGCUUCCAGCGACCCAGCUGAGUAAAUCAUGGAACAUGCACUUCUGUUUGCAUCCUGUAAUGAAAUGGUUUCACAACCUCACCAAAAUAUGUGUGCUUCAGAGGGAAAACUCCUCAACACCCCAAGUCUCCCAGCUUCCUUCACCACCAUCUGCUCUUUUUUAUUUUUCAAGAAAUGAGAAUGUUUGCAUAAAUGAGAAUGUAGCCUUUGAAGCUGAACGUAAAAGAGUAAUUUCCUAUAGGAUCCUGUAAGAACUUUGCAUAGGAGGAACAAAAAGGCUCUGCAUAAGAUGUGUAAAUAGUUAUAUCACUCUGAUUUAUGUUGAAAACCUGUUUUACUUUUAGCUACAGGAGCUAUAAAAGACAGUCUGAAAUACUCUCCAGGCUUCCUAUCUUUCAUGAGAAGAAGUGUUUCACAACAAAAAUAAAAUAUAUAUGCUUGCUUGUA